CAACUGGCCUGCGCCGCUGGCGCGACAGGGUGGCAGCGGGGAGCGGAAAGGGGAGGAGGUCUCAGGUCUGGGCGUGUGAAGCGAGGUGGUUGGCGCGAGUGGGCGGGCGCCUCGCUUCGAGCGGCCCCGCAGCGGCCGUGGCCAACGGGCAGUCGCCUUGGGCGCCUGGUGCCUUCUAAAGACGAAGUGCUCAGGUCCUUCUUGUUGUGACUGUAGUUCGUUCAGUAUAAGUCGUCCCUUGUCGUCGUAGCAAAACUAGACGGAAAAGCGUCCUAUGAACCCGUUAAGUAUCACCUUUGAAGUUGAACAAGUUCCGGAGAGAGAAGUGUGGUCAUGUAGUAAAAUGUAGGAACCUUUAACACCUCGCUCGGAUGAACUCUUACGUUACAUCGUCCUCAGUAAUCAAAGUCAUUCAACCUCUGAACGGGACCUCGACGGUAUGAGCCGACGUAACCGGAAACUAUCUACCAAAAAAGAGUCUGUAGGAGAGACCGUCAUUUCGAACGUGUUCCUGGGUUCGAGAAAUGAUGUUUCUGUUAAGAGGGGUACCUAGGGGGCCCACAACAGAGGAGACUUUUACGACUUAUACUAAAAAGACUACAAAAACCAAGGUCAGGUCAGCUCUGUCGUUGUCUUGAAACACAACAACUAGGUCUGUCGGGACGUCGAGGGUAACUCAGGGGACUCCUCCAAAUAUUACUAGGACGCCAGUAGAAGUUCGCCAGUGUAAGAGAACAACCGGGUAGUAGUGAACAAUCGACGAGAAACCCUGAACCGUUCGAGUGAGAUUUGUAUCGUCUACCUAGUAGUCUUGAACAUCCGGUGUGAUGUCUUCUUUUCCUUGAAUUGGAUCUCGUCAAGUCACUACUUCUCAAACCACUACGGCACUGACUCCUACUCCCACAACCCGAACUACUGAAACUUUAGAACUUCGAACAUCCGGUUCCCCGUAAACCGUUUCAGAAAGUCCACUCUUUCUUCCCAUGAAGUCUUUAUAUACGUUACUUUCAAUACUCCUUCCUGUUCUAUGACCUCUUUUUGGUAAGGCUCAUGUACUUUCGACUUUCUCUGUAUGACUGUUUUCAACUGGUAGGAAUACAUCACGUCGACUCCAUGAGGAAAGUCUGGUUUAUAGCUGAAAUGGAACAGGACCUGAAACAAUUGCCCCCCGUAGAUAAGAAAGUCGAGAUGUUCGUUCCUAAUAAAUCCCUCCUUGAACGUGCUUAGAUGUGUCGACUCUAAUAUAGACGACAUCGGGUGGAGGUACGAUUACCCUAAUACGUAUCUCUAGAAUUCGGGCUCUUGUAGGAUAACCUACGACUUCCGGUACGGUACGAUUGACUGAAACCGGAACGCUUUCUUAAGGCACUCUUGUGGGCUAGUUUGAGCUACACACCGUGAGAGCUCAUAUACCGGGGACUUUAAUAAGUCCCGGUCCCCGUACUAUUCCGGCGUCUAACCACCUCACAUCCUUAGGAGGACAAACUUUACGACUGCCCGUUCGGGGGCAAACAGCCCUUGUCUCUGUUUCAAGUCGUCUUCUAUCACUUCCUCUUCAACUUCGAAGGAGGCAAAAACUGAUCGCUUCGGGUGAGCGACGACUUUCCUAACGACGUAUUUCUUCGGCCGUUCGCCGACCCUUGGCCUGGGCCGCCGUCGCUGCUCUAUUUCUCCGUGUUCACCAAGUUCGGCUAGUUGACCUCCUUCGACCUGCGGGCCCUCUAGGUCGGCUCGAAGGCCGGGCUGCACCGGCCGGACUGGACGUAGCGGUUGAAGCUGCACACGACCUGGUUGUGCGGGCACGACCUGAGGGGCCGGCGGUGGGGGCAGUGACGACCGCCGCCCGUUCCGUUGAAACGCCCCAAGUGGAUACAGUCCGGGCGCGGCAAGGAGGUACUGGACUUCGGCGGGAGUUCGAGAUCGAUCGAUCCGACGUUCCAAGCGAGAUCACGUGGGCUUUACCCACGCGCGUUAAAACUAGAUCAAGUAAGUGACUUGACGACACAAGAUACCGGACAUGCUACAUAUAGCUAGGAAGACGUAGACGAAAUGAACGCCGUUACUCUUCAACCUUUGUCUCUCGUUGAUGUUAUAGACGUUAAUGUUUAACCGACUAUCAUGAGGGAGGCAGGCCUUAAUGAACAACGUCUUUACCUACAUAGAUCAUCUAUGUAGGUAAAUACACUGUUCAUUCAUUAAGGCCUACCCCGUACAGGGGUCCUAUACGAGUUCUCAACGUAACGUCGGGACACUGACUACUUAGACUUUGAGUCUUUGUUCUUUCCUUUUGGCAUCACGUUUUGACCGACGCCGGUACUCAGCCGAGAGUUCCAUCUAGAUGGAUCUCAAAACUGAUUAUCAAUGCCAAUUUAAAUUGCAUACGCAAUUAAUAUACCCCGAUUAUCGUCAAAUGUAGUAGUUAUUUAUAAGAUCUCGAAUGACGAACAGAUCAGAUGACGAGGAUGAAUAAAGGUUGUGAGAGAAACAUAGAGAGGGAAGCUUCAAGCUCCUCGUCCCCGUCGUGGUUUGUGGUUCGUUUCGUCGUCUAAGUCGUUAGUCGUCCAUGAUGCGUCUAUGCGUCCAUGAUGCGUCUAUGCGUCUAAGUCGUUUCGUCGAGAGGUGAGGGACCUGUUUAGCUAAGUUGUUAGUCGUC
RNAcentral lists this ribosomal RNA (2653 nucleotides) under Triticum aestivum (bread wheat). RNAcentral's name for it is "partial small subunit ribosomal RNA". Lineage: Eukaryota; Viridiplantae; Streptophyta; Magnoliopsida; Poales; Poaceae. The record is from RNAcentral.